CUCUCCCCAUACGACCAUUCUGCAACGUAUGUAUAAUAACAUGUUCUGUCAUGCUCUCUUUGUUUCUCCUGGUGCUUCAGUGUUGCUGAUCCAGACGUCACCUCCUCGUCCCUGGCUCAGAGACAGCCGGCCUGCAGCAGAGUGGAGGAGCUCCAGCAUAGAGCUGCUCAGCUCCCCACUUUGUUCCCCUGGCCCGGCGCUUCUGAGCGCAGACACAUCUGCCUUCAAGCCCGUCAACUGCACGAUGAGGCUGAAUCCCUGCAAUUAACUCUAACGAGCCUGGCUGAGCAGAGGAGGGAGCUGUUGGAACAAACCAGCGACGCCAUGUGGAACGAUUCGUCCUCGGCCGAGCGGGAGACCUACUGCUCACUGAUGGACGAGCUGAAGGGUGUGUGUUCCCGCCUGGAGGAAGGUGUGUGUGAUGAGGAACAGUUCGGUCAGUCAGUGCAGGCCUGCCAUCGUAAGUUGACAUCCCUGCAGGAAAGGAUGUCCGCCUGGCAAGCCCAGAAAGAAGCACCUCUGGAGGCUUUGCUUCAGGAAGUAACCGACGUAGAAGAAGACCUUUUACAAAUUGUAACACUGAAGGACUCCAUCACAGCCAGCUCUACAGCUGAGGCCCGGGCCAGCCUCUCCCAGCAAGUCAGCGACCUACAGAACCACAAGAGGGCAGUAGACGGUAGCGUCAGAGAACAUGUGGCUCUGCUCACAGAAAGCAACAACCGGAGAGUUCAACGUGUGAAGGAUGAGGUCACCUGUGUUCAAACCGC
RNAcentral lists this long non-coding RNA (767 nucleotides) under Cottoperca gobio. RNAcentral describes it as "lncRNA (ENSCGOG00000008992.1)". The record is from RNAcentral. Lineage: Eukaryota; Metazoa; Chordata; Actinopteri; Perciformes; Bovichtidae.